UCCUCAAAAUCCUUAGACUCAUCAAACGCCUCCAUCACUGGUGCCGCCUCCACGACCUCCAUGACCGCGAUCCUCCUUAGGGCGGCAGCCUCCAGCUGCAGGUGGUGGAAGCACCUGGAGGUGGUGGUGAUGGCGAUGAUGAUGCCGUUGACGAUGACAAAGUGGCAUGGAGGCCUGAAGCAUGAGAGGAGCGCCGCCAGAGUGUCAGCGGAGGUUGAUGGGACAAAGGCUCGGAGGGCGACGGCGGUAAUGGACACCGCCGACACGAGCAGGGCUUUCAGGGACGCCAUCAGAGCGCUUGACGACUCCAACUCGACAAUGAUGGUUUAGCAGUGGAAUUUGAGAGUGCGAGCUUUGCGAAGUGAAGUUUCGGUGCUG
RNAcentral lists this long non-coding RNA (378 nucleotides) under Eucalyptus grandis. RNAcentral describes it as "long non-coding RNA (EGRA_LNC002235)". The record is from RNAcentral. Lineage: Eukaryota; Viridiplantae; Streptophyta; Magnoliopsida; Myrtales; Myrtaceae.